UAUAACUUAUUAACUGUUAACUUUUAACUUGUCGAUAUUGUGUCCUCUUAACUUAAAUUAACUUGAGUUAAUUAUUUUCAUUAUAACUUGCCCACAUUUGUUGAAUAAUAUGCUGCAGCUUCCUAAGAGCAAUGCAUGAAGUUCCUAGUUAUAUUGUGGGACAAUAAGUCUUACCGCUGAUAGUAGUGAUUUUGACACAAUUGUAGGGGGAGGGGAUUAGAUCCAUGACACAAAAAAAAAUAAAUGAAAAGUUUUUUGUAUCCUCUUGCGUAGAUAGCUUAUUAAGUUUUAUUCUUGUUAUUUUUUAGGACUUUUAUAGUUAAUUAAAUGUAAAUAAUAAUUGCCAUAAAUGUGGAUUGGAAUGUCUACCAUGGCACUAUCUCAAUUGGCGUUAAACCACUACCGACCACCGAAUCCUAAUAAGCUCUGAUACUAGGUAGGAACUAAUUUACUAAUGUAUGUACCUAAGUAGUUACCUAUGGGAAUAAGAAAAACGUAAUUUUUCAUUCUAAAUUUCUAAAUGUGUACGAAUUAUUAUUUAUUAACACAUUUAUAAUUUAUAAUAAUUAGCAGGCUGUAUAAAUUAUUUUAAAAAAAUAGUAAAAGUGUGUUGCGUGAUUUCAAUAGGUAUGUAUGCACAUGCGAUGAUACAAAAUGCAAAUAUUGUAUCCGUGAAUAUAGUUUUUUAUUAAGUUUAAAUAAUACGCACCGGCUACUCCACGCUUAUUAUCUACAAAAACGGGAACUGUAUGCUAUCGCUAUGCGUAUUGUUAUAUCCAUGUCUGAUACUUUGAUGUAGAUAAUAGAUAUUAUACCUAUAUGAAUAUUGUAUGUGAUUGUAUCGGGUAUAAGUACGUAAUAAAUUAUUUUAUACUUA
This is a long non-coding RNA of Acyrthosiphon pisum (pea aphid), 877 nucleotides long. RefSeq lists it as uncharacterized. NCBI's taxonomy places the organism in Eukaryota, Metazoa, Arthropoda, Insecta, Hemiptera, Aphididae. The transcript is spliced from 2 exons. The record is from RefSeq and is a predicted model, not a curated record.